Molecule: long non-coding RNA, 2751 nt
Organism: Schistocerca nitens (vagrant locust)
Lineage: Eukaryota; Metazoa; Arthropoda; Insecta; Orthoptera; Acrididae
Exons: 3
Source: RefSeq, a predicted model, not a curated record
GCGCGAGCUGGGUUUCACACGACCGUCUUUUUCGAAACCCAUGCUGAUUCCUACAGAGUAGAUUUCUAGUCUCCAGGAAAGUCAUUCUACUCGAACAUAAUACGUGUUCCAAAAUUCUACAGCUGAUGGUUGGAAAGGAAGAGAAGGAAACGUAGCAGGUGAAUAUGGAUUGGGGGGAAGAAAUGAAAGAGGAAGCUAACUGGUAGAAUUUUUCACAGAGCAUAACUAAAUCAUAGCUAACACUUGGUUCAAGAAUCAUAAAAGAAGAUUGUGUACAUGGAAGAAGCCUGGAGAUACUGACAGGUUUCAGAUAGAUUAUAUAAUGGUAAGACAGAGAUUUAGGAACCAGGUUUUAAAUUGUAAGACAUUUCCAGGGGCAGAUGUGGACUCUGACCACAAUCUAUUGGUUCUGAACUGUAGAUUAAAACUGAAGAAACCGCAAAAAGGUGGGAAUUUAAGGAGAUGGGACCUGGAUAAACUGACUAAACCAGAGGUUCUACAGAGUUUCAGGGAGAGCAUAAGGGAACAAUUGACAAGAAUGGAGGAAAGAAAUACAGUAGAAGAAGAAUGGGUAGCUUUGAGGGAUGAAGUAGUGAAGGCAGCAGAGGAUCAAGUAGGUAAAAAGACGAGGGCUAGAAGAAAUCCUUGGGUGACAGAAGAAACAUUGAAUUUAAUUGAUGAAAGGAGAAAAUAUAAAAAUGCAGUAAAUAAAGCAGGCAAAAAGGAAUACUAACGUCUCAAAAAUGACAUCGACAGGAAGUGCAAAAUAGCUAAGCAGGCACGAGUAGAGGUCAAAUGUAAGGAUGUAUAGGCUUGUCUCACUAGGGAUAAGAUAGAUACUGCCUACAGGAAAAUUAAAGAGACCUUUGGAGAAAAGAGAACCACUUGCAUGAAUAUCAAGAGCCCAUUUGGAACCCAGUUCUAAGCAAAGAAGGGAAAGCAGAAUGGUGGGAUGAGUAUAUAGAGUGUGUAUACAAGGGUGAUGUACUUCAGGACAAUAUUAUGGAAAUGGAAGAGGAUGUAGAUGAAGAUGCAAUGGGAGAUAUGAUACUGUGUGAAGAGUUUGAUUGAGCACUGAAAAACCUAAGUUGUAACAAGACGCCGGGAGUAGACAAUAUUCCAUUAGAACUACUGACAGCCUUGGGAGAGUCAUUCCUGACAAAAGUCUACCAUCUGGUGAGCAAGAUGUAUGAGACAGGCGAAAUUUCCUCAGACUUCAAGAAGAAUAUAAUAAUUCCAAUCCCAAAGAAAGCAAGUGUUGACAGGUGUGAAAAUUACUGAACUAUCAGUUUAAUAAGUCACGGCUGCAAAAUACUAACGCGAAUUCUUUACAGAUGAAUGGAAAAACUGGUAGAAGCCGACCUUGGGGAAUAUCAGUUUGGAUUCCGUAGAAAUGUUGGAACACGUAAGGCAAUACUGACCCUACGACUUAUCUUAGAAGCUAGAUUAAGAAAAGGCAAAACUACGUUUCUAGUAUUUGUAGACUUAUAAAAAGCUUUUGACAGUAUUGACUGGAAUACUCUCUUUCAAAUUCUGAAGGUGGCAGGGGUAAAAUACAGGGAGCAAAAGGCUAUUUACAAUUUUUACAGAAACCAGAUGGCAGUUAUAAGAGUCGAGGGCACGAAAGGGAAGCAGUUGUUGGGAAGGGAGUGAGACAGGGGUGUAGCGUCUGCCCGAUGUUAUUCAAUCUGUAUAUUGAGCAGGCAGUAAAGGAAACAAAAGAAAAGUUCAGAGUAGGCAUUAAAAUCCAUGGAGAAGAAAUAAAAACUUUGAGGUUCGCUGAUGACAUUGUAAUUCUGUCAGAGACAGCAAAGGAAUUCUAAGAGCAUUUGAACGGAAUGGACAGUGUCUUGAAAGGAGGGUAUAAGAUGAACAUCAACAAAAGCAAAACGAGGAUAAUGGAAUGUAGUUGAAUUAAACCGGGUGAUGCUGAGGGAAUUAGAGUAGGAAAUGAGACACUUAAAGUAGUAAAGGAGUUUUGCUAUUUGGUGAGCAAAAUAACUGAUGAUGGUCGAAGUAGAGAGGAUAUAAAAUGUAGACUGGCAAUGGCAAGGAAAGCGUUUCUGAAGAAGAGAAAUUUGUUAACAUUGAGUAUAGAUUUAAGUGUCAGGAAAUCUAUUCUGAAAGUAUUUGUAUGGAGUGUAGCCAUGUAUGGAAGUGAAACAUGGACGAUAAAUAGUUUGUACAAGAAGAGAAUAGAAGCUUUCGAAAUAUGGUGCUACAGAAGAAUGCUGAAAAUUAGGUGGGUAUGUCACAUAACUAAUGAGGAGGUAUUGAAUAGAAUUGGGGAGAAGAAGAGUUUGUGGCACAACUGGACUAGAAGAAGAGAUCGUUUGGUAGGACAUGUCCUGAGGCAUCAAGGGAUCACCAAUUUAGUAGUGGAGGGUAAAAAUCGUAGAGGGAGACCUAGAGAUGAAUACACUAAGCAGAUUCAGAAGGAUGUAGGCUGCAGUACAUACUGGGAGAUGAAGCAGCUUGCACAGGAUAGAGUAGCAUGGAGAGCUGCAUCAAACCAGUCUCAGGACUGAAGACUACAACAAUAACAACAACAACAACGAGAAUUUAAGGCGAAAAUGGUUAUCAGAUGUUCACAGACAAGACUGGACACUGAGUAAGCACUCUGUUGUAUAUGUGAACUGCAUUUCAACAAGGACGGUAUUUUAAGCAGUACCAGCAUGUAUAACCCGAAAACUGGUACACUCCUGACAGCACCGUUGGAUCGUCGACACUUGAGAAAAGAGUAACUGUUCC